GACGAACGCUGGCGGCGUGCUUAACACAUGCAAGUCGAGCGGUAAGGCUCCUUCGGGUGUACACGAGCGGCGAACGGGUGAGUAACACGUGAGCAAUCUGCCCUUCACUUUGGGAUAACUUCCGGAAACGGAAGCUAAUACCGAAUACGACCACUUCAGGCAUCUGAUGGUGGUGGAAAGUUCCGGCGGUGAAGGAUGAGCUCGCGGCCUAUCAGCUUGUUGGUGAGGUAAUGGCUCACCAAGGCUUCGACGGGUAGCCGGCCUGAGAGGGUGACCGGCGACACUGGGACUGAGACACGGGCCAGACUCCUACGGGAGGCAGCAGUGGGGAAUAUUGGACAAUGGGCGAAAGUCUGAUCCAGCAGCGCCGCGUGAGGGAUGACGGCCUUCGGGUUGUAAACCUCUUUCAGCGGGGACGAAGCGAAAGUGACGGUACCCGCAGAAGAAGCACCGGCCAACUACGUGCCAGCCGCCGCAGUAA
Molecule: ribosomal RNA, 481 nt
Filed under: uncultured bacterium
Lineage: Bacteria
Description: partial 16S ribosomal RNA
Rfam family: Bacterial small subunit ribosomal RNA
Source: RNAcentral